GGCUCAUCCUACUUGAGCUGAUGGAGUUAUUUUUAAGGUUUCUUCUUAUCCUGAUCUCCUGAUAAUCACAAAACCCCUACAUUUUAUGGAAUAUGGGCUGUUUAUGGGGGUUGUGAGGUAGGUCACCACGUAGACAGGCCUCGGCCCCUGUGACAUCAUGGGAUAGCAUGGAACUUUGAAUCAGGUUUUAGAUGCCAUUCCUUACCACCUUGAUACCAGGAGCAUCUUGAGGUCAGCACAUUCCCCUAAAGGGUCUGUGUAGAAUGAGAGCAGCUGGAAACCACACAGAACAGGAUGCAUAAGAAAUAGGAAGUAGAAGCAUGGAAGGAGGGGAUGAUCCCCUGAAAACGAGAGACGUGUACUGGCCACAGCAAGCUUAGGAUGACGUCCAGAGUGAACGCACGGGGCUAGGAGUAAACACUGGACUUGGUGAAUAAGGGAGGACAUGUGCAGGUAAUUGUUUCCUGAACUAGAAAGUCUCUGAUCUGGCUUGUGAAUUCAGUCAAUCAAAAAGAGCACUUCGAUCUUAUAAAACCAACUGAAAGAACCACUUCUCCUCGUUUGUAUGAAGAGAAGUCAGUAAGGAGUGACUCUCAGAAGACAACUGGAGUGAGGAUACAUGGUGCCACCAUGCCCCCACAAAGCUGAAUAAAGUCUCCCCUGGUCCAGGAUCCCAGUCCUGCCUGAGACCCAGGACAUAAAUACGUUCUACGGUGGGAUCAGGGUCAUCAAGGUCUGCAUGGUCCCUGUUUCUCUUCUACCCUGAGCUCUUCCUUCUGACUCUCACAGCAACAGCACCUCCCAAGGUUCCAGCUUCCCUUCAAAGUCACUGUGGGAGUGUUUCUCUGACUCUACAGAAAGCACCAUCCCUGGAAUGCAGUACGCUGCAGCUGCUCCAAGGCAGCCAUUUGGGGCUGAGAAAGCAGCUCUCCACUGCUUCCUCCAAAGGCAGGAGCAGCCCAGUGGCAGGACUGCCCAUGAGUCUCCUCGUCAACAGACCCUGAGCCUCUGAUGUAAGAAGCCAGAUGUGAUGGAGAUAGGUAGGCUCUGCUUACUGCCUGUCACUCUGAGACUGGCCUUCUCUCAAGGGAGAGCUCGACGUCACCAUUGUUGAUGGAGUGCUGUGACGUCAGGGAAUCGCUUCCAAGAAAUUCAGAAGGAAAGAGGAGAGCAUGAGUGUCACUGCAAGGGGACUGGAAAAGAGCUAAUGACCCUGAAGCUGGUGCUGAGAGCCAGACUCCAGAAUGUGGUGCCCAUCCCAAAGUAUUGCUGCUCGUGGAUGCCUGACUAGAACAUUGUCCAGCAACUAGAAUGGCCCCAUUCCUUCAUUACUUUCUCACAUCCUGACCCACAAUUUCACUAACUGGGGGAGAAGAGUGUGCAAUGUUAAGAACUCCUGGCUCCAAUUACUAGCUGCAUGACCUCAAGCAAAGUAUUCCUCAGCUAUAAAGUGGGGAUAACAUACGACAUACCUUGUAAGUUCUGUGUGUAUGAAGAUUAAAUGAGACAGUGGUUGUAAACUGAUAUUAAUCAUUUGUUUAACGUUAGAUUUUAGAGUUACUGUUGUAAGCUUUAAAUGUGCAGUACUUGGUAGAGAUUUGAUGAAUAUGUACUUUAAUUUUCUUUUUGUUUUCCCCUGUUUUUGUAUCACUCUUUAAUCAGUCUGAAAGGUUUCUGGCUUGAUGUAUGCCUACUUACAACUUACCAUAAAAGGAGCCUCAUGUAUACUUCCAACAGUCCCCCAACCCCUUAUGCCAAAAGCAAAUAAAAACAAUCCAGUUGAAAGCAAUGUGUGAGCUGAUAAGACUAUUUACAGCACUGUGUGAAGAGGAGUGAAAGCUUCUUGCUGUUUUUCCUUUAAGGCUUAUUUGGAGCAUGUAUAUCUUAAUAGAGUCAAACACACUACAUAGUAAACUUUUUUAUGCUUAAAAAAAUUAAUAGCGUGUCUAAAUUAUCCCAUUUUAUUUAAGAUAGAUUCAUUAUCAUUUUAAAUAUUGACUGAUAAUCCAUCAUAAUUCUCUUAUUGACAGUUGUUUUCCAUUUCAUUAAGCUAUAAAUA
This 2059-nucleotide long non-coding RNA is filed under the name Equus caballus (horse). RNAcentral's name for it is "lncRNA (ENSECAG00000059425.1)". The record is from RNAcentral. Lineage: Eukaryota; Metazoa; Chordata; Mammalia; Perissodactyla; Equidae.